UUCCCCUCUCAAUUCCCAACAGAAGAGAGAUCCCCAAUCCUCUGGAGCCAAUGAAUCGGGCGCAGCGCAGCAACCAGGUAUCUGCCUCCGCUCCGCCCGAACCCGAGCCCGAUCCGAGCCAACUUCAAGGUAUGCGCUCUCAGCAAACCAACUCCUACUCUACUACAGUACCCAAGAUAGCUACGAUUGGUAAGGUUAUUGGGAAUCAUCUACGAUCUGAAUCGGAGGCCAAAUUGUUUCUCUGCUUCAUUCAUUUUCGUGAAUUCUACCACCCCUCCCUGCGCUAAAAUGCAGUAAUGCCAAGGCCCGAUGAUCUCUCAGUUUGCUUACGCCCGAUUCAGUAGCCCCACACCGAUUCACAAACGCUCUCUAGUGAUCAUUCAGAAAUCUGGCGUAUUGCUUUUAGAGUACUAACUAUGGAGCAAAGCACAUGCACAAGACAAGGCUGAUAUUGAUGUUGAAUUCUCAAGGAUUACUGGCACAUGAGCUUAACUGGAAGCAAGCUGUUGGGCAGCAUUCAUGUUAAAGCAAAAACUUUAGAUCUGUCUUGUGUGGUAACGCAGGUUGAGAGAAGCAGCAUGCCAUCUUUUGGCAUGUGAGAGGCUCUGUAAGCAGCAGCACGGCAGCAGCAUGUCCAAAAAACAAAACCUGAGAGGAAGCAAUGCUUACUAGGUAUCGUUUUAUGUGGUGGCGUCUGUCGCGAUAUCAGUUGCAUUUUGGCUAUACUGCAAGUGACAAAGGGCCCAUUUGUUUUAACUCUUGAGUUGACGAUGGAGCAGCGCUAAAGAUGUUUGGGUCUGCUAACUUGGGUUGAUUUCUCGUUUGGCAUACACAGAUGCAUCCAGGGGGGUAUGGAUGCGUGUCCCAUGCUUUCAAGUUUUGGGGGAUGAUCUGAUGAGAUGUGAAGGCCUGACAAGCCAUCUGGUAUGGGUAUGGGCAUGGGUAUGGUUUACAAAGGGCCUCAUGCAGCCCAAAGGCCUCAGCAACCCCGGGUAAUGUCAGGUUCAAACAACAAACAGGAUUGGAAUAAUCUUGUGGGCUAGUUAAUGCGUGUUGCUGUCUUGUAGUUAAUCUGGGUUGGCGCAAGCCAAGGCAAAGAAGAAGGAACAUGGAGAUUAUAUUAUUGCAAGAGGAUGGCUGCAAUUGUGUUGGUUUAAUUUGUGACUGGAUGAAUUUGUCUGCGUGCUUGUUUGUUUGUUAAAUGAGUAAGAGAUUACAGUGGACAGCAAAAAGGGGAUGGAAAGAAGAAAAUAAACGAGCCCCUCAGUUUGGUUUAUGUAUGUUUUAUUGAAGGUCAACUGCAACUGCAGUGCAGAUGAUGCAUGGCAAUGGCAUGCAGGAUAAUAAGCUGAUAAGCAGGCAUGUUCAUCGAUGACCAUGAUGGAUCGGAGAUGGCUGUCCCCGCCUUACCCACUGAUUGAAAGAGUUGAGAGAGAUGAGAUGAGAUCUGUGUCCAAUCCAUCGCCAUUGCUGGAGCUGGAGGCCUCUGGAGGGGAUGAGGAUAAAGCAACCGUCCAGGUCCAGCACUCUUCUCUCCCUCCCUGAAGGGAAGUGACCCACCUAGAUCUCCCAUCCUCUCUCUCAAGCAACCUACUGAGCAUGGACCCUCUCGAGUCCGCCUAGGAGGUUGUUUGGAACUGACAGACUACCGCAAGGGAAGAGCCCUAGAUGAGGAGAAAGAAGGGCAGCACUUGUGUAAAUUGUUAGGAGCUGAUCUCUUAGCUUUCUUGAUGUCUUUUUGCAGAAAUCUCGUGAUGGAAUGUCUGACUGAUUCCACUGUGGGCAUUUGUACAUUGCUGGGCAUUCUCGUGGUAGGUGCCUUGACGCCCGAAACUAUGUAAACCAACUUUUAAACUUUUGAAUUUUGGCUGAGAGGGCCUUUGGCGAGGAAA
Long non-coding RNA from Panicum hallii, 1892 nucleotides. RefSeq lists it as uncharacterized. The record is from RefSeq and is a predicted model, not a curated record. NCBI's taxonomy places the organism in Eukaryota, Viridiplantae, Streptophyta, Magnoliopsida, Poales, Poaceae. The transcript is spliced from 2 exons.